Molecule: ribosomal RNA, 484 nt
Filed under: uncultured Acidobacteriota bacterium
Lineage: Bacteria; Pseudomonadati; Acidobacteriota
Description: bacterial SSU rRNA
Rfam family: Bacterial small subunit ribosomal RNA
Source: RNAcentral
UGGGGAAUCUUGCACAAUGGGGGAAACCCUGAUGCAGCGACGCCGCGUGAGCGAUGAAGCCCUUCGGGGUGUAAAGCUCUUUCGGCAGGGACGAUAAUGACGGUACCUGAAGAAGAAGCUGCGGCUAACUACGUGCCAGCAGCCGCGGUAAUACGUAGGCAGCGAGCGUUGUUCGGAGUUACUGGGCGUAAAGCGUGCGUAGGCGGUGGUCCAAGCUGGUGUGAAUCUCCCGGCUCAACUGGGAGGGUGCGCCGGAAACUGGGCCGCUGGAGUGCGGGAGAGGCAAGCGGAAUUCCAGGUGUAGCGGUGAAAUGCGUAGAUAUCUGGAGGAACACCCGUGGUGCAGACGGCUUGCUGGACCGUGACCGACGCUGAGGCACGAAAGCGUGGGUAGCAAACAGGAUUAGAUACCCUGGUAGUCCACGCCCUAAACGAUGCACACUUGGUGUGGGCAGUUCAGUCUGUCCGUGCCGAAGCUAACGCG